Molecule: unclassified non-coding RNA, 220 nt
Filed under: Hevea brasiliensis (rubber tree)
Lineage: Eukaryota; Viridiplantae; Streptophyta; Magnoliopsida; Malpighiales; Euphorbiaceae
Source: RNAcentral
GUUGAGUCUAUCUUACUCCGAUACAUGUAAUUCCUGUGUUUUGCAAAAGUAAAUUUGGUCUAGUCUCUCACUUAGCUAACAUACAAGUUUACACGGAUCUUGGAAAUAAACAGCCCCAUGCGCAACCCAACAAAAGUAAGUUGAUGAACCCAUUAAACAACUACACCAGAAGCCAAAUCUUCCAAGCUCUAAGACAAGGACAUCCAAAAUUCCACCCUGC